GAGUUUGAUCAUGGCUCAGAUUGAACGCUGGCGGCAGGCCUAACACAUGCAAGUCGAGCGGUAACAUUUCUAGCUUGCUAGAAGAUGACGAGCGGCGGACGGGUGAGUAAUGCUUGGGAACAUGCCUUUAGGUGGGGGACAACAGUUGGAAACGACUGCUAAUACCGCAUAAUGUCUACGGACCAAAGGGGGCUUCGGCUCUCGCCUUUAGAUUGGCCCAAGUGGGAUUAGCUAGUUGGUGAGGUAACGGCUCACCAAGGCGACGAUCCCUAGCUGGUUUGAGAGGAUGAUCAGCCACACUGGAACUGAGACACGGUCCAGACUCCUACGGGAGGCAGCAGUGGGGAAUAUUGCACAAUGGGCGCAAGCCUGAUGCAGCCAUGCCGCGUGUGUGAAGAAGGCCUUCGGGUUGUAAAGCACUUUCAGUAAGGAGGAAAGGUUAGUAGUUAAUACCUGCUAGCUGUGACGUUACUUACAGAAGAAGCACCGGCUAACUCCGUGCCAGCAGCCGCGGUAAUACGGAGGGUGCGAGCGUUAAUCGGAAUUACUGGGCGUAAAGCGCACGCAGGCGGUUUGUUAAGCUAGAUGUGAAAGCCCCGGGCUCAACCUGGGAUGGUCAUUUAGAACUGGCAGACUAGAGUCUUGGAGAGGGGAGUGGAAUUCCAGGUGUAGCGGUGAAAUGCGUAGAUAUCUGGAGGAACAUCAGUGGCGAAGGCGACUCCCUGGCCCAAGACUGACGCUCAUGUGCGAAAGUGUGGGUAGCGAACAGGAUUAGAUACCCUGGUAGUCCACACCGUAAACGCUGUCUACUAGCUGUGUGUGCCUUUAAGCGUGCGUAGCGAAGCUACGCGCUAGUAGACGCCUGGGGAGUACGCCGCAGUAAACUCAAUGAUUGACGGGGCCGCACAGCGUGAGCAUGUGUUUAUCGAUGCACGCGAGACUACUACACUGACAUGCUGAGAGGUACUAGAGAUAGUUCUGCUCGGACUCAGAACCAGUGCUGCAUGCUGUCGUCAGCUCGUGUCUGGAAUGUAGUUAGUUCCGGCACGAGCCAACCUUGUCUUAGUGCAGCAUAGUGACCUAGACUGCAGGUACAAUCGAGCAGAUGGACACACCUUCAAGUCAAAG
Molecule: ribosomal RNA, 1128 nt
Filed under: uncultured marine bacterium
Lineage: Bacteria
Description: bacterial SSU rRNA
Rfam family: Bacterial small subunit ribosomal RNA
Source: RNAcentral